This 253-nucleotide ribosomal RNA is filed under the name uncultured bacterium. RNAcentral describes it as "partial 16S ribosomal RNA". It matches the Rfam family "Bacterial small subunit ribosomal RNA", at positions 524 to 776 of the family's 1533-position model. The record is from RNAcentral.
UACGUAGGGUGCGAGCGUUGUCCGGAAUUAUUGGGCGUAAAGGGCUCGUAGGCGGUUUGUCGCGUCGGGCGUGAAAUCCACUGGCUUAACUGGUGGCUUGCUUUCGAUACGGGCAGACUGGAGGUAUGCAGGGGAGAACGGAAUUCCUGGUGUAGCGGUGAAAUGCGCAGAUAUCAGGAAGAACACCCGUGGCGAAGGCGGCUCUCUGGUACGUGACUGACGCUGAGACGCGAAAGCGUGGGGAGCAAACAGG